AACGUAGGGGACAAGCGUUAUCCGGAUUUGCUGGGCGUAAAGCGCCCGUAGGCGGCCUGACAAGUUGGACGUGAAAGCUCCUGGCUUAACUGGGAGAGGCCGUUCAAAACUGUCAAGCUAGAGUCUGGAAGAGGAGAGCGGAAUUCCCGGUGUAGCAGUGAAAUGCGUAGAGAUCGGGAGGAACAUCAGUUGCGAAGGCGGCUCUCUGGACCAGCACUGACACUGAGGCACGAAAGCGUGGGGAGCAAACAGG
This 253-nucleotide ribosomal RNA is filed under the name uncultured bacterium. RNAcentral describes it as "partial 16S ribosomal RNA". It matches the Rfam family "Bacterial small subunit ribosomal RNA", at positions 524 to 776 of the family's 1533-position model. The record is from RNAcentral.